Molecule: transfer RNA, 368 nt
Filed under: uncultured Microcystis sp.
Lineage: Bacteria; Bacillati; Cyanobacteriota; Cyanophyceae; Chroococcales; Microcystaceae
Description: partial 16S-23S ribosomal RNA intergenic spacer
Rfam family: tRNA (bases 134-207)
Source: RNAcentral
AAAGGGAGACCUAAUUCAGGUAAGAGACGAAAAAAAAGUAGUCGCUACCAAGAAUCAAUCCCAAAAGGUCGGAGCGAGGCAUAAGGCUUUCAAACUAGGUUCUGGGUUCACACAAGACCUGAAUCAGGAACAAGGGCUAUUAGCUCAGGUGGUUAGAGCGCACCCCUGAUAAGGGUGAGGUCCCUGGUUCGAGUCCAGGAUGGCCCACCUGCACAGGUGGCAAAAACAAGAGAAGCGAGGAAUCAGCACCUUAUCUUAUCUAUAUAUAAAUAUAAGUAAGAGAGAAUGCUGGCUCUGAGUAAAGAGUCCAGAGGAACCUUGAAAACUGCAUAGAGCUAGGUGAAAAAGCCAAAAAAGAAGACCGCAAG